GCCACCACCACCACCUCCUCGAUCUCAUUGCUGUCGUAGUCCUCUUCUCUAAUGCACCCUCAGUGGUGGCCUAGCUCACCAUCGGUGAUGCGGCAGCAAUGCAAGCCCUUGCCAAGUGUCUUGAUCGAGCCAGCAUGCUUGGCUAGUCAGGCUCCUCCAACCCCUGUGGCUAUUGGGAUGCCAUCCGUUGCUCCAAUGACCACAUCACUGUUAGCC
RNAcentral lists this long non-coding RNA (216 nucleotides) under Elaeis guineensis (African oil palm). RNAcentral describes it as "long non-coding RNA (EGUI_LNC033513)". Lineage: Eukaryota; Viridiplantae; Streptophyta; Magnoliopsida; Arecales; Arecaceae. The record is from RNAcentral.